UCGAUGUCUAGGGGCUCUGAGAGGAUUGUCCCCCACACUGGUACUGAGACACGGACCAGACUCCUACGGGAGGCAGCAGUAAGGAAUAUUGGUCAAUGGACGAAAGUCUGAACCAGCCAUGCCGCGUGCAGGAUGACGGCCCUAUUGGUUGUAAACUGCUUUUAUACGGGAAGAAUCCCCUGUACGUGUACAGGGUUGACGGUACCGUACGAAUAAGGAUCGGCUAACUCCGUGCCAGCAGCCGCGGUAAUACGGAGGAUCCAAGCGUUAUCCGGAUUUAUUGGGUUUAAAGGGUGCGUAGGCGGAAUGAUAAGUUAGUGGUGAAAUCCCUCGGCUCAACCGGGGCACUGCCAUUAAAACUGUCAUUCUUGAGUAUAGUUGAAGUGGGCGGAAUGUAUCAUGUAGCGGUGAAAUGCUUAGAUAUGAUACAGAACACCGAUAGCGUAGGCAGCUUGCUAAACUAUAACUGACGCUCAGGCACGAAAGCGUGGGGAGCAAACAGGAUUAGAUACCCUGGUAGUCCACGCCGUAAACGAUGAUCACUCGCUGUUGGCGAUACACAGUCAGCGGCUUAGGGAAACCAUUAAGUGAUCCACCUGGGGAGUACGGUCGCAAGAUUGAAACUCAAAGGAAUUGACGGGGGCCCGCACAAGCGGAGGAGCAUGUGGUUUAAUUCGAUGAUACGCGAGGAACCUUACCUGGGCUUAAAUGUAAGACGACAGUCCCCGAAAGGGGACUUUCCUUCGGGACGUCCUACAAGGUGCUGCAUGGUUGUCGUCAGCUCGUGCCGUGAGGUGUCGGGUUAAGUCCCAUAACGAGCGCAACCCCUAUCCUUAGUUGCCAUCAGAUAAUGCUGGGGACUCUAAGGAAACUGCCUACGCAAGUAGUGAGGAAGGUGGGGAUGACGUCAAAUCAGCACGGCCCUUAUGUCCAGGGCUACACACGUGCUACAAUGGCCGGUACAGAGGGCAGCUACCUGGUGACAGGAUGCUAAUCUCGAAAGCCGGUCUCAGUUCGGAUCGAAGUCUGCAACUCGACUUCGUGAAGUCGGAUUCGCUAGUAAUCGCACAUCAGCCAUGGCGCGGUGAAUACGUUCCCGGGCCUUGUACACACCGCCCGUCAAGCCAUGGAAGCUGGGGGUACCUAAAGUCCGUAACCGCAAGGAGCGGCCUAGGGUAAAACUAGUAACUGGGGCUAAGUCGUAACAAGGUA
Molecule: ribosomal RNA, 1212 nt
Filed under: metagenome
Description: bacterial SSU rRNA
Rfam family: Bacterial small subunit ribosomal RNA
Source: RNAcentral